Molecule: non-coding RNA, 73 nt
Filed under: unclassified sequences
Description: DUF3800-IX RNA
Rfam family: DUF3800-IX RNA
About the family: Actinobacteria, Firmicutes (1 example), Nitrospirae, Proteobacteria, Verrucomicrobia (1 example). Nearby to DUF3800
Source: Rfam by way of RNAcentral
GCCUUCGCGGCCCGAAUCGUCGCCGUAUGGCGGCUUGUCUGGCGCAUCGUCAGUCUAGGGCGCGAGGGCGUAA